GCGGCGGUGUCCAAAUUGGUAAAGGAGGCGGUCUCAAAAGCCGCUGCUCGCAAGGGCUUGUGGGUUCGAGUCCCACCCGCCGCA
RNAcentral lists this transfer RNA (84 nucleotides) under Solirubrobacterales bacterium. RNAcentral's name for it is "tRNA-Leu". It matches the Rfam family "tRNA". Rfam says of the family: Transfer RNA (tRNA) molecules are approximately 80 nucleotides in length. Their secondary structure includes four short double-helical elements and three loops (D, anti-codon, and T loops). RNAcentral also lists the same sequence under 3 other names. Lineage: Bacteria; Bacillati; Actinomycetota; Thermoleophilia; Solirubrobacterales. The record is from RNAcentral.